GACGAACGCUGGCGGCGUGCCUAAUACAUGCAAGUUGAGCGAUGAGAUUGGUGCUUGCCCCAAUUUGAAGAGCAGCGAAAGGGUGAGUAAAGCGUGGGGAAUCUGCCUUUGAGCGGGGGACAACAUUUGGAAACGAAUGCUAAUACCGCAUAAUAACUUUAAACAUAAGUUUUAAGUUUGAAAGAUGCAAUUGCAUCACUCAAAGAUGAUCCCGCGUUGUAUUAGCUAGUUGGUGAGGUAAAGGCUCACCAAGGCGAUGAUACAUAGCCGACCUGAGAGGGUGAUCGGCCACAUUGGGACUGAGACACGGCCCAAACUCCUACGGGAGGCAGCAGUAGGGAAUCUUCGGCAAUGGACGAAAGUCUGACCGAGCAACGCCGCGUGAGUGAAGAAGGUUUUCGGAUCGUAAAACUCUGUUGGUAGAGAAGAACGUUGGUGAGAGUAGAAAGCUCAUCAAGUGACGGUAACUACCCAGAAAGGGACGGCUAACUACGUG
Molecule: ribosomal RNA, 496 nt
Filed under: uncultured bacterium
Lineage: Bacteria
Description: partial 16S ribosomal RNA
Rfam family: Bacterial small subunit ribosomal RNA
Source: RNAcentral